This 950-nucleotide long non-coding RNA is filed under the name Homo sapiens (human). RNAcentral describes it as "HSALNT0325973". Lineage: Eukaryota; Metazoa; Chordata; Mammalia; Primates; Hominidae. The record is from RNAcentral.
UGUAGUUCAGUGUCUGCGUCUAAGAGAGUACUUUGUUGCUGCACCCGCCAGAGGGAAGAAAUACUGUAUCUUCUCAUGAAGGAAGGAACCGAAGCUAUAUUAUUUCCCUUAUGUUGGACCAUAAAUCUAAAAUUGUAAUUAAAUGUCCAUCCUCCAAAAAUGGAUAUGCAAGCGUGUACAUGUCUUUAAAGUCACAUCUCUCUUUCUGACCACAGCCAGGAAUGAUUCUCUGCUUUUAAGAACCCAUGGACUAUAUGCCAAACAGAAUAACGAGGAUAAUUUCAUCUCAAGGUACUUAAUCACAUCUACAAAAUCUCAUUCAACAUGGCAGGUAGCAUAUUCACAUAUUUUGGGGACAACAAUGCAAACAUCUUUGGGGGCCAUCAUUCAGCUUACUACAAUGUGUGAUUUCAGUAAUAGAGCUACAGAUUCAUAGUAGGGUCUUUCUCAAUAAUGAUUUUGUUCAUACUGCAUCUUCUAAAAGAGGAGAGUCAUAAAACUUGAUUAUUUAAUCAUGAUUAGGAAAGUUUGGUAUAUAACACAGUAGCCAUAUUUUAUACAGUUGUGGCUACUGUGAAAUAGGAAGCUCAGCAGCAGCCAUUGGGAGUGUGCAUGUCUUGGCCGUGAGUAAUCUGAGUAAAUUCUACAAGUAUGUUUCAGUAAUUGAAAACAGAAGACAUUCAUAUGAAAUUUGCCGAAAGUCCUAUUCCCAGCGAUUAAGUAAUUAUCUGUUAUAAAUCAAAAUUACUCCAAUAGUCAUAAAAAUUAUAUAUUGAUAUGGCUAAACUCUAAAGUUUUGAUUUGAAUAAUGCUAACCAAUUGUAGCAAAAAGAGGUUUGGAGAGGAAAUCAACAACUGUAACAUAAUUUCACCAUUACCACUUUCUGAAAUUGUGACUAGGAACAAGUAAUUUAGCAAUUCUAUUUCAGAGUUUACUCACAGAAUGAGUU